ACCACUGAGCUAAAUCCCCAGCCCUCAAAAAAUUUUUCUAAAUAAAGUUAUGAGAGGGCUGGGGAUUUAGCUCAGUGGU
RNAcentral lists this microRNA precursor (79 nucleotides) under Heterocephalus glaber (naked mole-rat). RNAcentral describes it as "mir-3473 microRNA precursor family". It matches the Rfam family "mir-3473 microRNA precursor family". Lineage: Eukaryota; Metazoa; Chordata; Mammalia; Rodentia; Bathyergidae. The record is from Rfam by way of RNAcentral.